AUCAGCUUUCUUUGUAGCAGCCAACUUGGUAGGCUCAUAUAUCAUUUUAGAUCCCAAUGUAGGGCUAACAUACCAAAACUUCUUCUUCUUUUUGUGGAGCAUCUUCUUUAGCAGGUUCCUGGAACCGCCCAGAGCAGCGGAGCUGCGCAGGGAACGGCACCACGGCAGAGCCGCGCUCGCCGCCGCGCGGGCCCCCCACAUGCUCCCGAACAGCCUCGGCUCAGCGCGGCCCGUGGAG
This 238-nucleotide long non-coding RNA is filed under the name Gallus gallus (chicken). Lineage: Eukaryota; Metazoa; Chordata; Aves; Galliformes; Phasianidae. The record is from RNAcentral.